UUGAGAAACAAAUUUCAUUUAUAAAGUAUUAGUGGCAAUAUUACACCAUUACUAUGAUCUAAGACCAUUACAAAGUGUGGCUUAGAUCUAAGAGAAGUACAAGUUAAUAACAUAUGGUAAAGCAUACAUUCCUUUUAUUUUCCUAUUUUAUAACAAUAUGUACUGCAUUUGCAAAUUAUGGUCUUGGAUAUGUAAAAGCAAUACAUUCCAUGUUUCUAUCGACAAGAUAUAUCAAUUUUCCCAUUAAAUCCUCCACUGAACUUUGAAGAACACAAUCUUUACUUGUUCAAACACUUCUUCAAUUGAUCUUUCAGCAUCAAUCUAUGAAGGGAUUAUAAAACAAAAAAAACAAAAAAACAAAAAUUCAUUGGUUAAAUCAUUAUCAUAACGUAGGAUCAAUAUAUAUCAAAAUUAGAAAUUACAACCAUGGUAAAUAAUAUUAUAAGCAAAAAUAUAUUUGCCUAACAAUUUUUUUAAAUGCAAAGCCAAAUUUUAUUUUUUAUCAUUAUGAAGAAAUACAUCAAUCAUGAAAUAAAUUAAGAAAAAUCCAUAGUAAUGUGAAAACCUUCACCAUUUCUAGUGUAAAGUUGAAUUGGCCAUUUGUAAAGGAGGCGAUAUUGGAAAAUGUUACCUAUCAAGCAAAACAUUAGAAAUGAUAGCAAUUCAUGAAAUAUGAGAAUUGACAACACACCCAAAAUAUUAAUUAAAGGUUGAAUGUUUGAUAUAGGGCUUCUAUUAGUUUGUUAAUAAGUAUAUAUUAGCCAUAAACGAGCUCUUAAGUGAAAUAAAAACUAUGAUCUAUCUAUAUAAACUAUAUAAUUAAAUAAAUAACAUGAUAAAUUCAUGCAGUUGUAGUUUAUAUACAUAUAUAAAUAAUGAGAUUUCCCCAUAUGUAAAAAUUGUUAGAAUCUAUAUGAGAUCAUAUACAUUUGAUUUUGUUCCAUGGUGUUUUCUAAAGCAUUCCAUUGCAAAUUCAACUGAAGAAUCACAAUAGCAACUUCCCAAUUCAACGGUGUUCACGCCAACCCAAAUUUUCUCAUAUAUUUUCCUCGCUUUCCCAACAACCAAACACUAAUUCAAUACAUUAAAAAAAAAAAAAAAAAACUAAACAUAAGAAUCUUAAGUUGGGUUUGGAGUACCUUCUAGGAUGGAGAGAAAAUGGUGGGAAAAGUAAUUGUAAACCCAAUGAGGGUAAGAGAAGGAGUCGUGAUUGACAAUAGUGAUGUCCUUUGUGAUGUGCCAAUAAAGUGGCAAUGCUACUAUGUAGGUGGCCAACCAUAGCCCCAACACCCUCAUAACCGCCUUCAACCACCUCUAGAUGGAUUCAUUAAGAUGUUGAAACAAUGUCAUGAGAUCUUGAGAAGAAGAACAUGAUCUCUACUUAGAAAUGAGGAAUUUGUUGUAGAGAAAAAUGAAGAAGAAUAGGAUCUCACUUUUUAGAGAUACAAAUAGUGUUGUUUUGGAAAAGUCAAUAAGAUUAGACCUG
RNAcentral lists this long non-coding RNA (1486 nucleotides) under Vitis vinifera (wine grape). RNAcentral describes it as "long non-coding RNA (VVIN_LNC002157)". Lineage: Eukaryota; Viridiplantae; Streptophyta; Magnoliopsida; Vitales; Vitaceae. The record is from RNAcentral.